This 633-nucleotide ribosomal RNA is filed under the name uncultured Hyphomicrobiales bacterium. RNAcentral's name for it is "bacterial SSU rRNA". It matches the Rfam family "Bacterial small subunit ribosomal RNA", at positions 28 to 692 of the family's 1533-position model. The record is from RNAcentral. Lineage: Bacteria; Pseudomonadati; Pseudomonadota; Alphaproteobacteria; Hyphomicrobiales.
AAUCAACGCUGGCGGCGUGCCUAACACAUGCAAGUCGAACGAGAAAGUGGGGCAACUCCAUGAGUAAAGUGGCGACCGGGUGAGUAACACGUGACUAACCUGCCUUCGAGUGGGGAAUAACUUCGGGAAACCGGGGCUAAUACCGCAUAACACCGAGAGGUCAAAGGAGCAAUUCGCUUGAAGAGGGGGUCGCGGCUGAUUAGCUAGUUGGCAGGGUAACGGCCUACCAAGGCAAUGAUCAGUAUCCGGCCUGAGAGGGCGCACGGACACACUGGAACUGAAACACGGUCCAGACUCCUACGGGAGGCAGCAGUGGGGAAUUUUGCACAAUGGGGGAAACCCUGAUGCAGCAACGCCGCGUGGAGGAUGAAGCCCCUUGGGGCGUAAACUCCUUUCGAUCGGGACGAUUAUGACGGUACCGGAUGAAGAAGCACCGGCUAACUCUGUGCCAGCAGCCGCGGUAAUACAGAGGGUGCAAGCGUUGUUCGGAAUUAUUGGGCGUAAAGGGCGCGUAGGCGGUGCGGUAAGUCUUUUGUGAAAACUCCGGGCUCAACUCGGAGCUUGCAGGAGGAACUGCCGUGCUGGAGUAUGGGAGAGGUGAGUGGAAUUCCCGGUGUAGCGGUGAAAUGCGUA